This is a long non-coding RNA of Eptesicus fuscus (big brown bat), 1119 nucleotides long. RefSeq lists it as uncharacterized. The record is from RefSeq and is a predicted model, not a curated record. The transcript is spliced from 3 exons. NCBI's taxonomy places the organism in Eukaryota, Metazoa, Chordata, Mammalia, Chiroptera, Vespertilionidae.
GUUGGAGAGCGCCCAGUGCUGGUAGCCUUCGACAGGGAUGAGCGCAUCGUGACGCGGCUCCGGGUGCCCGCUGAUCCCAGGCACCACCGACACGUCCAGGGGGAAGGUGGUGUCUGAAGAUGGAGAGCAUGGACAUCGUCCUGGCAAGGGGGCACUGUGCGGCCAAAAUUCGGCGACAAGAGGAAAAAGCUGGAACCAACGUCCCCUCCGGCAGGAAGACCAGCCCAAGAAGACGUAGCUCCCCAGGAGACUUGGGGAAGUGAGAAGGCUGGAGGGGAAAGUUCGGGGCUGAGGGAGUUAAAAGUGGCCGGUGAGGUGUCCUCAUGCUCUUUCUUUCGGUUCCCCAACACCUUCCGCGCCUGAAACUGCCGGCUCCGCGGCUGGGGCGCGCCGAGCGAGCGGGGCGGGCGGCGGCGUUGCCAGAGCCCGCGGGCGCGCGGCGGAGAGUAAAGCGUUGUUGGUUAAUUAACUUUAAGCCUGGGGUCGCUUCUCCCUCCUCCCCCGAAAAAAAUGUGGAUCUCGCUGAGACACAAAUAAAACCAAAUUAAACACUCCAGGAGAAUAUGCGCCACUGGAAACGUAGUAAUUACACCUCCGAGGCGAUCCCGCCCUAGAAAGCCGGUGCUGAACCCGCGGCUCCGCGCUCACCGCGCCUCCCCCAGCUCGUCCACACCCCACCCCGCCGGGGUGCACACACUGGGCGACGGCGGCGCUGGACCACGGACGAAGUUUGCAGCAAAUCAAGACAAAUGGAAAGGAGUGUGGCUGCCCGGUCUCUAGAUGUGCUGCGUUACACUAAAGGAAGAUGGAAAAUGGCCCGGCAGCCCUGGCUGGUCGGAAAGCCGAGCUCUGCUCUGGGCUCUUUUUACAAAGGGACCUUUGCAAGGGCGAGGCUCCGGAGCCACUCUGCCCUCAGCUUCUUCUGCGGACUGAGGUCCCAGCUCGGUUCAACUCUGAAAUUCUUUUUCUCAGAGGCGAUAUCCUUUGUGCCUACUCACGGGACGUGUGUGACCUCUGUGACGUUGGGGACGGUGCAGGGUGCAUGCACUGUUCCUGGCACAUGCCCUUGUAGGCACAGCCCAAAUGUGCUUAUAAAGAUACCCAGCCCUCUGCUGAAAU